This 86-nucleotide transfer RNA is filed under the name Grifola frondosa (maitake). It matches the Rfam family "tRNA". Rfam says of the family: Transfer RNA (tRNA) molecules are approximately 80 nucleotides in length. Their secondary structure includes four short double-helical elements and three loops (D, anti-codon, and T loops). Lineage: Eukaryota; Fungi; Basidiomycota; Agaricomycetes; Polyporales; Grifolaceae. The record is from Rfam by way of RNAcentral.
GCUCUCGUCGUCUAAUGGCUAUGAUAUCAGAUUCCUAUCGCAAGCACAUGAUCUGAAGGUUCCGGGUUCGAGUCCCGGCGGGAGUA